GAUGAACGCUGGCGGCGUGCCUAAUACAUGCAAGUCGAGCGAACGGACGAGAAGCUUGCUUCUCUGAUGUUAGCGGCGGACGGGUGAGUAACACGUGGAUAACCUACCUAUAAGACUGGGAUAACUUCGGGAAACCGGAGCUAAUACCGGAUAAUAUUUUGAACCGCAUGGUUCAAAAGUGAAAGACGGUCUUGCUGUCACUUAUAGAUGGAUCCGCGCUGCAUUAGCUAGUUGGUAAGGUAACGGCUUACCAAGGCAACGAUGCAUAGCCGACCUGAGAGGGUGGUCGACCACACUGGAACUGAGACACGGUCCAGACUCCUACGGGAGGCAGCAGUAGGGAAUCUUCCGCAAUGGGCGAAAGCCUGACGGAGCAACGCCGCGUGAGUGAUGAAGGUCUUCGGAUCGUAAAACUCUGUUAUUAGGGAAGAACAUAUGUGUAAGUAACUGUGCACAUCUUGACGGUACCUAAUCAGAAAGCCACGGCUAACUACGUG
This 497-nucleotide ribosomal RNA is filed under the name uncultured bacterium. RNAcentral's name for it is "partial 16S ribosomal RNA". It matches the Rfam family "Bacterial small subunit ribosomal RNA", at positions 28 to 507 of the family's 1533-position model. The record is from RNAcentral.